GAUGAACGCUGGCGGCGUGCCUAAUACAUGCAAGUCGAGCGAACAGAUGAGGAGCUUGCUCCUCUGACGUUAGCGGCGGACGGGUGAGUAACACGUGGAUAACCUACCUAUAAGACUGGGAUAACUUCGGGAAACCGGAGCUAAUACCGGAUAAUAUAUUGAACCGCAUGGUUCAAUAGUGAAAGACGGUUUUGCUGUCACUUAUAGAUGGAUCCGCGCCGCAUUAGCUAGUUGGUAAGGUAACGGCUUACCAAGGCAACGAUGCGUAGCCGACCUGAGAGGGUGAUCGCCCACACUGGAACUGAGACACGGUCCAGACGCCUAAGGGAGGCAGCAGAAGGGAAUCUUCCGCAAUGGGCGAAAGCCUGACGGAGCAACGCCGCGUGAGUGAUGAAGGUCUUCGGAUCGUAAAACUCUGUUAUUAGGGAAGAACAAAUGUGUAAGUAACUAUGCACGUCUUGACGGUACCUAAUCAGAAAGCCACGGCUAACUACGUG
This 497-nucleotide ribosomal RNA is filed under the name uncultured bacterium. RNAcentral describes it as "partial 16S ribosomal RNA". It matches the Rfam family "Bacterial small subunit ribosomal RNA", at positions 28 to 507 of the family's 1533-position model. The record is from RNAcentral.